This 427-nucleotide ribosomal RNA is filed under the name uncultured bacterium. RNAcentral describes it as "bacterial SSU rRNA". It matches the Rfam family "Bacterial small subunit ribosomal RNA", at positions 355 to 774 of the family's 1533-position model. The record is from RNAcentral.
UGGGGAAUUUUGGACAAUGGGCGCAAGCCUGAUCCAGCAAUGCCGCGUGCAGGAUGAAGGCCUUCGGGUUGUAAACUGCUUUUGUCAGGGAAGAAACGAGUUUCUCUAAUACAGAGACUUAAUGACGGUACCCGAAGAAUAAGCACCGGCUAACUACGUGCCAGCAGCCGCGGUAAUACGUAGGGUGCAAGCGUUAAUCGGAAUUACUGGGCGUAAAGCGUGCGCAGGCGGUUAUGCAAGACAGAUGUGAAAUCCCCGGGCUCAACCUGGGAACUGCAUUUGUGACUGCAUAGCUGGAGUGCGGCAGAGGGGGAUGGAAUUCCGCGUGUAGCAGUGAAAUGCGUAGAUAUGCGGAGGAACACCGAUGGCGAAGGCAAUCCCCUGGGCCUGCACUGACGCUCAUGCACGAAAGCGUGGGGAGCAAACA